CCUACGGGGGGCAGCAGUGAGGAAUAUUGGUCAAUGGGCGUAAGCCUGAACCAGCCAAGUCGCGUGAGGGAUGAAGGUUCUAUGAUUCGUAAACCUCUUUUAUAAGGGAAUAAAGUGCGGGUCGUGUCCCGUUUUGUAUGUACCUUAUGAAUAAGGAACGGCAAACUCCGUGCCAGCAGCCGCGGUAAUACGGAGGAUCCGAGCGUUGUCCGGAUUUAUUGGGUUUAACGGGUGCGUAGGCGGCAUUUUAAGUCAGCGGUGAAAGUCUGUGGCUCAACCAUAGAAUUGCCGUUGAAACUGGGAGGCUUGAGUAUGUUUGAGGCAGGCGGAAUGCGUGGUGUAGCGGUGAAAUGCGUAGAUAUCACGCAGAACCCC
This 375-nucleotide ribosomal RNA is filed under the name uncultured bacterium. RNAcentral describes it as "partial 16S ribosomal RNA". It matches the Rfam family "Bacterial small subunit ribosomal RNA", at positions 338 to 710 of the family's 1533-position model. The record is from RNAcentral.